UGAGGAAUAUUGCACAAUGGGGGCAACCCUGAUGCAGCGACGCCGCGUGGGUGAUGAAGGUUUUCGGAUCGUAAAGCCCUUUUCUGCAUGACGAGCCAAGGACGGUAGUGCAGGAAUAAGUGUCGGCUAACUACGUGCCAGCAGCCGCGGUAAAACGUAGGACACAAGCGUUAUCCGGAAUUACUGGGCGUAAAGGGCGUGCAGGCGGUUGCGUAAGUUAGGCGUGAAAGACUUCGGCUAAACCGGGGGAGGUCGUCUGAUACUGCGCAACUAGAGUAUGGUAGAGGCGUGUAGAAUUCCGGGUGUAGUGGUGAAAUGCGUAGAGAUCCGGAGGAAUACCAGUGGCGAAGGCGGCACGCUGGGCCAUAACUGACGCUAAGACGCGAAAGCAUGGGUAGCGAAACGGGAUU
Molecule: ribosomal RNA, 410 nt
Filed under: uncultured bacterium
Lineage: Bacteria
Description: bacterial SSU rRNA
Rfam family: Bacterial small subunit ribosomal RNA
Source: RNAcentral